This is a long non-coding RNA of Leopardus geoffroyi (Geoffroy's cat), 1993 nucleotides long. RefSeq lists it as uncharacterized. The transcript is spliced from 4 exons. Lineage: Eukaryota; Metazoa; Chordata; Mammalia; Carnivora; Felidae. The record is from RefSeq and is a predicted model, not a curated record.
CCACACCCUCCCGCGGAGCCCCGCCCCCGGCACGUGGACCUUGUCCCGAAAGACUGGAUUCCCCGCAGACCCCGCCGGCCGCCCCUUGGGCCCCGCGCCUCCGCCCGCCGCCGUCCCGGGGCUGCGCGGCCCGGCGGGGCACUCACGAGGGCACCUCGAGCGCGCGGCGCGCCUCCUCUUUGGCCAGGGCCUCGGCCAUCAUGUACAGGUGUCCGGGCAGCAGGGUCAGGUUGGACGGGAUGCGGAGCUGAGGGGAGAUGAGGCACCCGAGGGCGCCUGGACGUCAGGGCACGGGCGGCUGGUGCCCGCGUCACCGAGGGGACACCCUGAGGUCGGGGUGCGGGCCCAGGCAAGCCAGGAUGGGAACCCGGGCCUGGGGGCUCCAGAGCGACCCUGCGCCUCCUCAGGGCAGGGGUGAAGAGACUUCAGGGAGGGGAAGGACAGAUCAGAUGCUCGAAUGUAGGCUCUCAAAACUCUACAGGCUGCGGGGCCAGACAGGGGACAAAGGACUAAAGCAGAGAUCAGGAAUGUUGACAAAAACUCCUGGCUCUUAAAUAAUGGCAGAUCACUUUCACAGUUUCAACACUGUUGGCAAAAACAGAAGCCGCUUGCGGGCUGCGUUGGGCUCAGAGUCCGCCAGCGUGAGACCCGUGUAGGAGACUCUGGGGGCCUGGUUGAGGACUGUGGCGUCGAAGGAGAAAAGAGGGUCCCCGAGGAGGCAACCAGUCUUACCUCUACCACCGUCAGGAUGAAGCCUUUCCACAUCUCCCGAGACUCCAGGCUCUCUACCUGCGGAGGGACAGAAACAGAGCCCAUGGCGAUGAGCCUCGGUCAAUUCAUCUGUGAAAUGGGAACGAGGAAUAAUAGCCACUGUUUUCCAAGGGUUCUUUUGAAGAUUAAACGAGUUGGGACCCGGGUUACUUCAGGAUGUCUGGACAUCAUAAGUCCUUAGGAAAGUGGGAUAGAAUUCUUUAAUGUUACUACGUCAAGUUUGAAAACAAUACAAAUCAGAUCCUGUAUCUUCAAUGCUCUAAACCCUCCCCGGGCUCCCGUCUGCUUUGGGGUAAAAGCCCAAGUCCUCCCUAGGGCCCACAAAGCCCUGCACCCCACGCCCUGUCCCCUCCCUGCCCUCCUCCCUCCCUCUACCCAGCAGCCUCCUGCUCCUCCCCCCUCCCCCCUCCUCUUCUUCCUCCCGGCUCUUCAGACACACGAGCCUUUGCACAGGUAUUUACGUGCUGGUUCCCUCACCUGCGGGUCUCGGUGAGGCUUUCCCCGGUCGCCCUGUUUCACAUGGUAACCCUGAGCGCGCUGCGUCCUUUCUCUAGCACUUUUUCCAAGCGUCUCCUGCCAUCUGCCCCUCCAGAUACGUUUUACACGCUUGUAUUGUGUACUGUGUGCCUCCCCCGCUCGACUGCAAACUCCACAACGGUGAGGAGUUUUAACUGUCCUGUUCACUGCAACCAGGAGAAUGUCUGGCACACGGGAGGCGCUCGAUAACCUUAGCUGCAAGGUUGAACGAUGGCGGGGCGGCGGGGGGGGGGGGGGGUCCAUCCUUGUGGCUCGCGUGCUGUUCUGGCUCCUCUCUAUGUAGUCUCCCAUUUUGCAGGCGAAGAACCCAAGGCCUAGAGAAGUCAAGUGACUCGGCCAGUGUCACCAACCCAGUGGUAGCCUCCGUGCGACUCCAUGCUACUGUGUGUUAGUGGACUGUGUUGGAUACGGGUGGCGAGGGUGAACAUCCUUGCCCUGUUCGCUCUGUUACGGGGAAAGCGUCUAGGCUUUCCCCAUCGAGUACAAUGUUUACUGCAGGUCCUGAGGAUUAGAAUGUGAACAUCUUUAGGGAACCGCUAUUCCACGACCACAGCCUGUUAAAUAUGAUGGCUAACAUUGAUUGAUUCUUGAAUACUGAACCCGCUAUGCAUCCCUGGAGUAAACCCCACUCAGUCAUGCUCGCCCUGAGAAGGGAUCUGCGCUGACAGUGUGGAGCCUGCUUGGG